Myotis davidii is the source of this 75-nucleotide non-coding RNA. The record is from Rfam. Lineage: Eukaryota; Metazoa; Chordata; Mammalia; Chiroptera; Vespertilionidae.
UGCGGUUCUCAGGUGACGCACCCGGAACCAGAGAGGAGGGAGCCCAAUUCCAGGGUGUGUCACCUGAGAACUGCC